GCCGGCUUAGCUCAGCUGGUAGAGCAGCGGUUUUGUAAACCGAAGGUCGGGGGUUCGAUCCCCUCAGCCGGCACCA
Molecule: transfer RNA, 76 nt
Filed under: Marinicauda algicola
Lineage: Bacteria; Pseudomonadati; Pseudomonadota; Alphaproteobacteria; Maricaulales; Maricaulaceae
Description: tRNA-Thr
Rfam family: tRNA
About the family: Transfer RNA (tRNA) molecules are approximately 80 nucleotides in length. Their secondary structure includes four short double-helical elements and three loops (D, anti-codon, and T loops).
Source: RNAcentral